UACGGAGGGUGCAAGCGUUAAUCGGAAUUACUGGGCGUAAAGCGCACGCAGGCGGUUGGAUAAGUUAGAUGUGAAAGCCCCGGGCUCAACCUGGGAAUUGCAUUUAAAACUGUCCAGCUAGAGUCUUGUAGAGGGGGGUAGAAUUCCAGGUGUAGCGGUGAAAUGCGUAGAGAUCUGGAGGAAUACCGGUGGCGAAGGCGGCCCCCUGGACAAAGACUGACGCUCAGGUGCGAAAGCGUGGGGAGCAAACAGGAUUAGAU
Molecule: ribosomal RNA, 260 nt
Filed under: uncultured bacterium
Lineage: Bacteria
Description: partial 16S ribosomal RNA
Rfam family: Bacterial small subunit ribosomal RNA
Source: RNAcentral